RNAcentral lists this ribosomal RNA (800 nucleotides) under Acinetobacter pittii. RNAcentral describes it as "bacterial SSU rRNA". It matches the Rfam family "Bacterial small subunit ribosomal RNA", at positions 68 to 863 of the family's 1533-position model. Lineage: Bacteria; Pseudomonadati; Pseudomonadota; Gammaproteobacteria; Moraxellales; Moraxellaceae. The record is from RNAcentral.
GAGAGAGGUAGCUUGCUACUGAUCUUAGCGGCGGACGGGUGAGUAAUGCUUAGGAAUCUGCCUAUUAGUGGGGGACAACAUUUCGAAAGGAAUGCUAAUACCGCAUACGUCCUACGGGAGAAAGCAGGGGAUCUUCGGACCUUGCGCUAAUAGAUGAGCCUAAGUCGGAUUAGCUAGUUGGUGGGGUAAAGGCCUACCAAGGCGACGAUCUGUAGCGGGUCUGAGAGGAUGAUCCGCCACACUGGGACUGAGACACGGCCCAGACUCCUACGGGAGGCAGCAGUGGGGAAUAUUGGACAAUGGGCGCAAGCCUGAUCCAGCCAUGCCGCGUGUGUGAAGAAGGCCUUAUGGUUGUAAAGCACUUUAAGCGAGGAGGAGGCUACUUUAGUUAAUACCUAGAGAUAGUGGACGUUACUCGCAGAAUAAGCACCGGCUAACUCUGUGCCAGCAGCCGCGGUAAUACAGAGGGUGCAAGCGUUAAUCGGAUUUACUGGGCGUAAAGCGCGCGUAGGCGGCUAAUUAAGUCAAAUGUGAAAUCCCCGAGCUUAACUUGGGAAUUGCAUUCGAUACUGGUUAGCUAGAGUGUGGGAGAGGAUGGUAGAAUUCCAGGUGUAGCGGUGAAAUGCGUAGAGAUCUGGAGGAAUACCGAUGGCGAAGGCAGCCAUCUGGCCUAACACUGACGCUGAGGUGCGAAAGCAUGGGGAGCAAACAGGAUUAGAUACCCUGGUAGUCCAUGCCGUAAACGAUGUCUACUAGCCGUUGGGGCCUUUGAGGCUUUAGUGGCGCAGCUAACGCGAUAA